RNAcentral lists this ribosomal RNA (403 nucleotides) under uncultured bacterium. RNAcentral describes it as "partial 16S ribosomal RNA". It matches the Rfam family "Bacterial small subunit ribosomal RNA", at positions 28 to 526 of the family's 1533-position model. The record is from RNAcentral.
GACGAACGCUGGCGGCGUGCCUAAUACAUGCAAGUCGAACGCAGUGGGGACGGGUGAGUGACACGUGGGUAACAGCCCAUCAGAGGGGAUAAAACUUGGAAACCGGUGCUAAACCGAUACUGAUGGAUGGACCCGCGGUGCAUUAGCUAGUUGGUGAGGUAACGGCUCACCAAGGCCACGAUGCAUAGCCGACCUGAGAGGAUGAUCGGCCACACUGGGACUGAGACACGGCCCAGACUCCUACGGGAGGCAGCAGUAGGGAAUCUUCGGCAAUGGACGAAAGCCUGAUCCAGCCACGCCGCGUGUGUGAAGAAGGUCUUCGGAUUGUAAAGCUCUGUUGUUAGAGAAGCGGUAUCUAACCAGAAAGCCACGGCUAACUACGUGCCAGCAGCCGCGGUAAUAC